RNAcentral lists this ribosomal RNA (253 nucleotides) under uncultured bacterium. Its description in RNAcentral is "partial 16S ribosomal RNA". It matches the Rfam family "Bacterial small subunit ribosomal RNA", at positions 524 to 776 of the family's 1533-position model. The record is from RNAcentral.
UACGUAGGGUGCAAGCGUUGUCCGGAAUUACUGGGCGUAAAGGGCGCGUAGGCGGCCUGUUAAGUCGGAGGUGAAAUCCCUCGGCUCAACUGAGGAACUGCCUCCGAUACUGGCCGGCUUGAGUCCCGGAGAGGGUAGUGGAAUUCCGAGUGUAGCGGUGAAAUGCGUAGAGACUCGGAAGAACACCAGUGGCGAAGGCGGCUACCUGGACGGGUACUGACGCUGCAGCGCGAAAGCUAGGGGAGCAAACAGG